AUUCAAAUAGCUUAUAAAGAGCAUAAUAUUGAAGAUAUUAAGGAAAUAAUUUUAUUUUUGAAUA
RNAcentral lists this transfer RNA (64 nucleotides) under Cerambycidae sp. 8 KM-2017. RNAcentral's name for it is "tRNA-Phe". The record is from RNAcentral. Lineage: Eukaryota; Metazoa; Arthropoda; Insecta; Coleoptera; Cerambycidae.